UUAGAACAAAUGUACCUCCCACUAUUUUCUCGAAUUCCUCACACUUCUCUGGUAGGAAAACGGAAAACCUAUAUGACUAGGGUUUCUAGUGGGUACUGCGGUCCCACCGAUUUACAUGCCACUUCACCUAACAGUUAUUGGUGACACAUAAAUGGAUGAGUGUACAACUCUUGUACAAUGCUUCUCAAGCAUGUUGCAGUGCUACUUGAUCUCUAAGUCAUGAAGAUCUCACCUAACAGUUAUUGGUCACAUUCCUUAGUUAAGUCAGAUCCACCAUAUAACCGUAGAAAUAAAGUCGUCAUUGGGUCCUCACCUAACAGUUAUUGGUGCCCAACCCCACCUUUACCCCUACAACAUCUCAUGUCUAUAGAAAGGUCCAGCCCCCCGAUGCAAC
This 394-nucleotide long non-coding RNA is filed under the name Phoenix dactylifera (date palm). Its description in RNAcentral is "long non-coding RNA (PDAC_LNC012810)". Lineage: Eukaryota; Viridiplantae; Streptophyta; Magnoliopsida; Arecales; Arecaceae. The record is from RNAcentral.